This 253-nucleotide ribosomal RNA is filed under the name uncultured bacterium. RNAcentral describes it as "partial 16S ribosomal RNA". It matches the Rfam family "Bacterial small subunit ribosomal RNA", at positions 524 to 776 of the family's 1533-position model. The record is from RNAcentral.
UACGAAGGGGGCUAGCGUUGUUCGGAAUUACUGGGCGUAAAGCGCACGUAGGCGGACAUUUAAGUCCGGGGUGAAAUCCCAGAGCUCAACUCUGGAACUGCCUUUGAUACUGGGUGUCUUGAGUAUGGAAGAGGUGAGUGGAAUUCCGAGUGUAGAGGUGAAAUUCGUAGAUAUUCGGAGGAACACCAGUGGCGAAGGCGGCUCACUGGUCCAUUACUGACGCUGAGGUGCGAAAGCGUGGGGAGCAAACAGG